This 50-nucleotide microRNA precursor is filed under the name Paramuricea clavata. Lineage: Eukaryota; Metazoa; Cnidaria; Anthozoa; Malacalcyonacea; Plexauridae. The record is from RNAcentral.
CCAGGCUCUUUCCUCUACGCUCCUAGGAGCAUAGAGGAAAGAGCCUGGGA